This 372-nucleotide ribosomal RNA is filed under the name uncultured organism. Its description in RNAcentral is "bacterial SSU rRNA". It matches the Rfam family "Bacterial small subunit ribosomal RNA", at positions 526 to 896 of the family's 1533-position model. The record is from RNAcentral.
CAGAGGGUGCAAGCGUUGCUCGGAUUUACUGGGCGUAAAGCGUACGCGGACGGUGAGAAAGGUCGGAUGUGAAAGCCCCGGGCUCAACCCGGGAACUGCAUCCGAAACCAUCUCGCUAGAGUAUGGGAGAGGGAAGCAGAAUUCCUGGUGUAGAGGUGAAAUUCGUAGAUAUCAGGAGGAAUACCUGUGGCGAAGGCGGCUUCCUGGCCCAUUACUGACGUUCAGGUACGAAAGCGUGGGUAGCAAACAGGAUUAGAUACCCUGGUAGUCCACGCCGUAAACGAUGUGUGCUGGAUGUCGGGGGUAUUCACCCCCUCGGUAUCGAAGCUAACGCGAUAAGCACACCGCCUGGGGAGUACGGCCGCAAGGUUG